Non-coding RNA from Nomia melanderi (Alkali bee), 1356 nucleotides. The record is from RefSeq and is a predicted model, not a curated record. Lineage: Eukaryota; Metazoa; Arthropoda; Insecta; Hymenoptera; Halictidae.
UAACGUGUACCACAUCUACACGUGGCACUGAACGUGUUUAUUUUCUUGUAGUUGCAGUUUUAAAUUUCUGUAAUGAAGCUUUUCUAGUGUGAAGUUUGCCGUGCGAGGCACGUGUUCGCACACAGGAAUUACCGACCGGUCUCCCGCCAGAACGGUUUCGCAGCUUUCUUUUUUUACCAGUGGCUAACGAAAUUCGCCAACAGGGGGAUUCAAUUAUCUCCGGUGAGUAAAAGUGGCGUCCGAACUCCAUAAAGUGAAGAAGGAGAAUUAACGAGAUACGGAACAGUGCUAAUUCGUUCCGUCACUUGGUUAACGCUGGAUUCACGGAGGAAACAACAGACGCGUCUACUUACUCGGUGUGGAUAUGCCAAAUGCCACGUGACGUUGAAAUUACUCCCGGACAGAAAAGUGGUCUUGACAUCGCCUGGAACAUGGAAACGUUACAAGUUCAGUUCGAUGGCUCAUCGAUCGGACAAUGAGAUGUUAAUAUUCAUUACGAUAAUGGGAUACGAUAAGUCCAAAACAAUCGCCGGAAACACGCUCAAACGCAAGUUCAUCGUAAUCUCGCCCGCUAGACGCAUAGCUAAAAAAUUCUCUACGGAAAUUCCCGUUAUAUUCUAUUUAUGAACUGUAUUAAUUGUUUCAACACCACAACUACCGAUCACUGAAACUGAAUUUUACAAGUUUCUUUAUAAAAACCAUAAGUUCACUGAGAUUUCAAUUGAGUUGUAUUUCACUUUUGCUACUGAAUUCGUAGAAGUAUCUGUACCUUUUCAGCAAUUGAAUAUAAGUUAAUAUUUCAUUAACACUAGAACUACCAGAAAUUACUACCAAAUUAAUACUAUAUAUGGUACACUUAUUCCUUUCUAGUGAAACUAAGAAGUAACAAUUAUCAGCUAUUUGGUAAUUUGGAAACUCCUGUUAUCGGUGACCACCGCGAUCAACGUGUUAAAUAGAUUCUAGAAUGGAACUAAGUUUUAACCCUUUGUCCGAAGUAUUCUUGGUUUCUCACUUUGAGGUUCACGUCGACGUUAGUUCAUUCAAUUGUAGCUUAAUAUGACGGUCUAUUUAUUUAUUCAAGAAUAUUUGGGAGUCAUUGAGAUGUUACUUUUAAACGGUAUAAUUCUGACACUACAAAUAAAUAUAGAAAAAAUUGUUAAAACAGGUAGAGGUUGCAGUAAAAUAGAAUGUCGAGUCUGACUCGACAUAGGACUGCUAAGGGUUAAACGAACUGAAUUUAUUUCACCUAUUAUAAUACGGGGCACGAUACACAGACUUUCUAGCAAUGAAUUCACUGGGAACAAAUCGAGCCUGGAAAUUCAUUUUUCUGUUGCGCAGGAAUCAGUUGCGCGGAAA